CUCUUAUUUAGAGAGGUGGAGGGAUGUGCCCGAUGAAACCCGGCAACCAUCGUUAAACGAAAUGGUGCUAAUUCACAGAAAGUAAUCUUGAUUACUUUCAAAGAUAAGAG
Molecule: non-coding RNA, 110 nt
Organism: Staphylococcus cohnii subsp. cohnii
Lineage: Bacteria; Bacillati; Bacillota; Bacilli; Caryophanales; Staphylococcaceae
Source: Rfam